AGUGAACGCUGGCGGUAGGCCUAACACAUGCAAGUCGAACGGCAGCACAGUAAGAGCUUGCUCUUACGGGUGGCGAGUGGCGGACGGGUGAGGAAUACAUCGGAAUCUACUUUUUCGUGGGGGAUAACGUAGGGAAACUUACGCUAAUACCGCAUACGACCUACGGGUGAAAGCAGGGGAUCUUCGGACCUUGCGCGAUUGAAUGAGCCGAUGUCGGAUUAGCUAGUUGGCGGGGUAAAGGCCCACCAAGGCGACGAUCCGAAGCUGGUCUGAGAGGAUGAUCAGCCACACUGGAACUGAGACACGGUCCAGACUCCUACGGGAGGCAGCAGUGGGGAAUAUUGGACAAUGGGCGCAAGCCUGAUCCAGCCAUACCGCGUGGGUGAAGAAGGCCUUCGGGUUGUAAAGCCCUUUUGCUGGGAAAGAAAAGCAGCAGGUUAAUACCCCGCUGUUCUGACGGUACCCAAAGAAUAAGCACCGGCUAACUUCGUG
RNAcentral lists this ribosomal RNA (492 nucleotides) under uncultured bacterium. RNAcentral's name for it is "partial 16S ribosomal RNA". It matches the Rfam family "Bacterial small subunit ribosomal RNA", at positions 29 to 507 of the family's 1533-position model. The record is from RNAcentral.